CCUACGGGAGGCUGUAGUGGGGAAUAUUGGACAAUGGGGGGAACCCUGAUCCAGCCAUGCCGCGUGUGUGAAGAAGGCCCUCGGGUUGUAAAGCACUUUCAGUGAGGAAGAACGCCUGGUGGUUAAUACCCAUCAGGAAAGACAUCACUCACAGAAGAAGCACCGGCUAACUCCGUGCCAGCAGCCGCGGUAAUACGGAGGGUGCGAGCGUUAAUCGGAAUUACUGGGCGUAAAGCGCGCGUAGGUGGCUUGAUAAGCCGGUUGUGAAAGCCCCGGGCUCAACCUGGGAACGGCAUCCGGAACUGUCAAGCUAGAGUGCAGGAGAGGAAGGUAGAAUUCCCGGUGUAGCGGUGAAAUGCGUAGAGAUCGGGAGGAAUACCAGUGGCGAAGGCGGCCUUCUGGACUGACACUGACACUGAGGUGCGAAAGCGUGGGUAGCAAACAGGAUUAGAUACCCUAGUAGUC
This 465-nucleotide ribosomal RNA is filed under the name Vreelandella stevensii. RNAcentral's name for it is "partial 16S ribosomal RNA". It matches the Rfam family "Bacterial small subunit ribosomal RNA", at positions 338 to 795 of the family's 1533-position model. The record is from RNAcentral. Lineage: Bacteria; Pseudomonadati; Pseudomonadota; Gammaproteobacteria; Oceanospirillales; Halomonadaceae.